Molecule: ribosomal RNA, 2064 nt
Filed under: Leucocytozoon sp.
Lineage: Eukaryota; Apicomplexa; Aconoidasida; Haemosporida; Leucocytozoidae
Description: SSU rRNA
Rfam family: Eukaryotic small subunit ribosomal RNA
Source: RNAcentral
AAGUAUAUACAUUUUCGUAAUGUAGAAACUGCGAACGGCUCAUUAUAACAGUUAUAAUCUACUUGACAUUACAAAACUUUUAUAUGGAUACCUACGGAAAAGCUGUAGCUAAUACAUGAGCGAUGUAAUAAAUAUUCAAUAUAGAAUAUUUAUUAUGGUAUUUGUUAGCUUUUUUUAACAAGAAAAAGACAAGUGGGGAGUCCUAACAAAGAAGCGACACGUAUAAUGUUUUUAUUGACAUUAUGAAGUGCGUAUCAAUCAAGUUUCUGACCUAUCAGCUUUUGAUGUUAGGGUAUUGGCCUAACAUGGCUAUGACGGGUAACGGGGAAUUGGAGUUCGAUUCCGGAGAGGGAGCCUGAGAAAUAGCUACCACAUCUAAGGAAGGCAGCAGGCGCGUAAAUUACCCAAUUCUGACAAAGAGAGGUAGUGACAAGAAAUAACGAUGUAAGAUCUAUUAUUAGAUUUUACAAUUGGAAUGGUGGGAAUCUAAACCCUUCCCAGAGAAGCAAUUGGAGGGCAAGUCUGGUGCCAGCAGCCGCGGUAAUUCCAGCUCCAAUAGCGUAUAUUAAAAUUGUUGCAGUUAAAACGCUCGUAGUUGAUAUUCAAAGAAAUUUAUUAUGAAAAAUGUUGCUACAAUUAUACAUUUUUUUGUAUAUUUUGUAUGUAAUAAUUUUCACUCGAAAUUUCUUUUUUAUCAUAUAUGUGUUAUUUAUUGAUAUAUAUAUGAUAGUUACUUUGAGUAAAUUAGAGUGUUCAAAGCAAGUGACUUUUGCAAGGGGUAAUACCCGCUUGAAUACUACAGCAUGGAAUAACUUUAUUGAAAAAGUCAAAUGGUGUUUCUUUUUAGAAAUCCAAUAUUUUUGUUUGUUUCUAAAACACUUUUUCUUGAUUUGGCUUAGUUACGAUUAAUAGGAGUAGUUUGGGGACCUUCGUAUUCAGAUGUUAGAGGUGAAAUUCUUAGAUUUUCUGGAGACGAACAACUGCGAAAGCAUUGGUCUAAAAUACUUCCAUUAAUCAAGAACGAAAGUUAAGGGAGUGAAGACGAUCAGAUACCGUCGUAAUCUUAACCAUAAACUAUGCCGACUGGGAGUCGGAUAGGUACUUAUUGUAAUUAUAAUAUGUUAGUUCACUCUAAUAAUUUUAUAAUUACUAUUGCCCACUUAUUCGGUACCCUGGGAGAAAUCAAAGUCUUUGGGUUCUGGGGCGAGUAUUCACGCAAGUGAGAAAGUUAAAAGAGUUGACGGAAGGGCACCACCAGGCGUGGAGCUUGCGGCUUAAUUUGACUCAACACGGGGAACCUCACUAGUUUAAGACAAGAGUAGGAUUGACAAUAUUUACAUAUUGAUUGAAGCUCUUUCUUGAUUUCUUGGUUGGUGAUGCAUGGCCGUUUUUAGUUCGUGAAUAUGAUUUGUCUGGUUAAUUCCGAUAACGAACGAGAUCUCCACCUACUAAUUAGUUCAUAGUGCAAUAUGUUUUAAUAAUAUAUAUAUUAUGUUUAUUAAUAUAUUGUGAUAUUUUUUAUAUAUUAUAUGAACCCCAUGGUUUAUUAUGAUAUUAUAAUUAAUGUCUGAUAUUAAUUAAAUAUAUAUAUAAAUUAUUAAGACGCACUAUCUAUUGUAACUUCUUAGAGGGACAUGGAAUGUUUAAUUCCAGGAAGUUGGAGGCAACAACAGGUCUGUGAUGUCCUUAGAUGAACUAGGCUGCACGCGUGCUACACUGAUGCGUGUAGCGAGCUAUUAUUAAAGAAAAUAAAAUUAAAAUAUUUCGUAAGAGAUAUUAUAUAAUUUUUUUUCUUUCCUGAUUUGAAAAAAUUGGGGAAUCUGUAAUACGCAUCGUGAUGGGGAUAGACGAUUGCAAUUAUUUGUCUUGAACGAGGAAUGCCUAGUAAGCAUGAUUCAUCAGAUUGUGCUGACUACGUCCCUGCCCUUUGUACACACCGCCCGUCGCUCCUACCGAUUGAAAGAUAUGAUGAAUUGUUUGGACGGAUUUUUUUAUUUUAAUAAUUUUAUUAUUAAAAUUUAAAAAAAAUUUGGAAGAAUUGUAAAUCAUAUCUUUUAAAGGAAG